GGUUGGAGGCGCAGCGGCCCCGCGAGCAGACGCGCAGGCUGGAAAUGACUCUCCCUGAAGUUAAUUCCUCAAUUGUCCUUGCACUGUCAGAUGCCUUUCUUUCUGAAGGAUUUCCUUAAUCCGCUGUGGUACUUUAAGUGGCUGUCUUGAUAACACCAAAUGUCAUCUGGCAAGUGAAUGACCUUACCUGCUAUCCACAUAUAUUGUCAGAGGGAACUGUGAACUUUGUUUUGGCUUUAAUUUUAAGAGCCUGAAUCCCAAGGCAGAUAUCACAAACAUGAAGACCUAUCCUAUUCCUGCUUCUGUACAUUGCUGGAGAAUAAUAGAAUUAUUGCUCUUUUUAUUUGUGUUUAUUUUUCUAUUUUUGGAAGAGCUACUCAUUGUUAAGUGAUAGAGAAAGAAUGCCAAUAAACCAAUACCUGGGUGAAUCAUGGACUGAGAGUAACCCUGCUGCGGAUGCUACAAAGAUACUGCUGUGUCUUUCAAACCAGGAGAGCUUGAAAGUGACUAUUUACAGUACCUCUUUAUAAAACGUUGCCCUCAGUUUAAGUUGUGCUAUGACAAAACAAAUGGCUCUGAUAAACACUGGAGUCUAUUCUUCCUAUGCUAGCGACAGCAAAGCCUGGACAUACUCCUGAGCCUAGUUUACAGAAGAUUCUCUGUUUAGAGGCAGAGUUGACAUGGCUUCUGUGCUGAAGCAAAUA
This 704-nucleotide long non-coding RNA is filed under the name Homo sapiens (human). RNAcentral's name for it is "HSALNT0369964". Lineage: Eukaryota; Metazoa; Chordata; Mammalia; Primates; Hominidae. The record is from RNAcentral.